RNAcentral lists this ribosomal RNA (443 nucleotides) under uncultured bacterium. RNAcentral describes it as "partial 16S ribosomal RNA". It matches the Rfam family "Bacterial small subunit ribosomal RNA", at positions 338 to 795 of the family's 1533-position model. The record is from RNAcentral.
CCUACGGGUGGCUGCAGUGGGGAAUAUUGGGCAAUGGGCGCAAGCCUUACCCAGCAAUACCGCGUGAGUGAAGACGGUCUUCGGAUUGUAAAGCCCUUUGAUCCGGGACGAACAGAUGACGGUAUCUGAAGAACAAGCCCCGGCUAACUACGUGCCAGCAGCCGCGGUAAAACGUAGGGGGCGAGCGUUGUCUGGAAUGACUGGGCGUAACGGGUGCGUAGGCGGGAUAAUGAGUUAGAAGGGAAAUACCCAGGGCUUAACUCGGGUGCUGGUUCUAAGACUGUUGAGCUUGAGUGCGGGAGAGGUUAAUGGAAUGCCUGGUGUAGCGGGGGAAUGCGUAGAUAUUAGGAGGAACACCAGAGGCGAAGGCGAUUAACUGGACCGUAACUGACGCUGAGGCACGAAAGUGUGGGUAGCAAACAGGAUUAGAUACCCCAGUAGUC